Molecule: ribosomal RNA, 253 nt
Filed under: uncultured bacterium
Lineage: Bacteria
Description: partial 16S ribosomal RNA
Rfam family: Bacterial small subunit ribosomal RNA
Source: RNAcentral
UACGUAGGGUGCAAGCGUUGUUCGGAAUGAUUGGGCAUAAAGCGCGUGUAGGCGGUCCGCUAAGUCUGGUGUGAAAGCCCGGGGCUCAACCCCGGAAGUGCACUGGAUACUGGCAGACUAGAGGAUGAGAGAGGAGGGUGGAAUUCCUGGUGUAGGGGUGAAAUCCGUAGAUAUCAGGAGGAACAUCGGUGGCGAAGGCGACCCUCUGGCUCAUUUCUGACGCUCAGACGCAAAAGCGUGGGGAGCAAACAGG